AUGACUUUGAUCUGCGUCCUCAUCUGGACUCUCCUCUGCUGCUGCUUCACAGAGUCCAGAGGACAGAUCACAGUGACUCAGCCUGGAGCAGUGAGCUCUGCUGUGGGAGGAUCUGUGAGCAUCAAGUGUACGACCAGUCAGAGUGUUUAUGUUUAUAGUGGCUACAGUGACUAUGUUGACGACAUGGAAUACCAGUGUUUAGCCUGGUACCAACAGAAAGAUGGAGGAGUUCCUAAACUGCUCAUUUACUUUGCUAGCACUCGAGAAUCAGGGAUUCCAGCUCGUUUUACAGGCAGUGGAUCAAACUCUGACUUCACUCUGACCAUCAGUGGAGUCCAGGCUGAAGAUGCAGCAGUUUAUUACUGUCUGAGUUAUCAUGAGAUCAACAGUCAAGCUGUGUUCACACAGUGA
Maylandia zebra (zebra mbuna) is the source of this 411-nucleotide non-coding RNA. NCBI's taxonomy places the organism in Eukaryota, Metazoa, Chordata, Actinopteri, Cichliformes, Cichlidae. The record is from the annotation of a RefSeq genome assembly.